CAGGAUGGCAGUGAUUCUGGAGAAAAGAAACUAGACAAUGCGGAUAUGGCAGCUUUUGUCCAGAAUCUACUUGAACAGAUGCAAUCAAGGUUCCAAACAAUAUCUGACUCCAUCAUUACCAAGA
This is a long non-coding RNA of Hibiscus syriacus, 124 nucleotides long. RefSeq lists it as uncharacterized. The record is from RefSeq and is a predicted model, not a curated record. The transcript is spliced from 3 exons. NCBI's taxonomy places the organism in Eukaryota, Viridiplantae, Streptophyta, Magnoliopsida, Malvales, Malvaceae.